GAUGAACGCUGGCGGCGUGCCUAAUACAUGCAAGUCGAGCGAACGGACGAGAAGCUUGCUUCUCUGAUGUUAGCGGCGGACGGGUGUGUAACACGUGGAUAACCUACCUAUAAGACUGGGAUAACUUCGGGAAACCGUAGCUAAUACCGGAUAAUAUUUUGAACCGCAUGGUUCAAAAGUGAAAGACGGUCUUGCUGUCACUUAUAGAUGGAUCCGCGCUGCAUUAGCUAGUUGGGAAGGUAACGGCUUACCAAGGCAACGAUGCAUAGCCGACCUGAGAGGGUGAUCGGCCACCCUGGAACGGAGACGCGGUCCAGACUCCUACGGGAGGCAGCAGUAGGGAAUCUUCCGCAAUGGGCGAAAGCCUGACGGAGCAACGCCGCGUGAGUGAUGAAGGUCUUCGGAUCGUAAAACUCUGUUAUUAGGGAAGAACAUAUGUGUAAGUAACUGUGCACAUCUUGACGGUACCUAAUCAGAAAGCCACGGCUAACUACGUG
RNAcentral lists this ribosomal RNA (497 nucleotides) under uncultured bacterium. Its description in RNAcentral is "partial 16S ribosomal RNA". It matches the Rfam family "Bacterial small subunit ribosomal RNA", at positions 28 to 507 of the family's 1533-position model. The record is from RNAcentral.